Molecule: ribosomal RNA, 230 nt
Filed under: uncultured bacterium
Lineage: Bacteria
Description: partial 16S ribosomal RNA
Rfam family: Bacterial small subunit ribosomal RNA
Source: RNAcentral
GAUCCUGGCUCAGGGUGAACGCUAGCUACAGGCUUAACACAUGCAAGUCGAGGGGGCAGCAUGGUCUUAGCUUGCUAAGGCCGAUGGCGACCGGCGCACGGGUGAGUAACACGUAUCCAACCUGCCGUCUACUCUUGGACAGCCUUCUGAAGGGAAGAUUAAUACAAGAUGGCAUCAUGAGUCCGCAUGUUCACAUGAUUAAAGGUAUUCCGGUAGACGAUGGGGAUGCG